UACGGAGGAUGCGAGCGUUAUCCGGAUUUAUUGGGUUUAAAGGGUGCGCAGGCGGCGUGUCAAGUCAGCGGUAAAAUGUCGGGGCUCAACCCCUGCCGGCCGUUGAAACUGGCGUGCUCGAGUUGGAGAGAAGUAUGCGGAAUUCGUGGUGUAGCGGUGAAAUGCAUAGAUAUCACGAAGAACCCCGAUUGCGAAGGCAGCAUACCGGCUCCACACUGACGCUGAGGCACGAAAGCGUGGGUAUCGAACAGG
RNAcentral lists this ribosomal RNA (252 nucleotides) under uncultured bacterium. Its description in RNAcentral is "partial 16S ribosomal RNA". It matches the Rfam family "Bacterial small subunit ribosomal RNA", at positions 524 to 776 of the family's 1533-position model. The record is from RNAcentral.